CCUACGGGUGGCAGCAGUGGGGAAUUUUGGACAAUGGGGGCAACCCUGAUCCAGCCAUGCCGCGUGCGGGAAGAAGGCCUUCGGGUUGUAAACCGCUUUUGUCAGGGAAGAAAUCUUCCGAGCUAAUACCUUGGGAGGAUGACGGUACCUGAAGAAUAAGCACCGGCUAACUACGUGCCAGCAGCCGCGGUAAUACGUAGGGGGCAAGCGUUAAGUGGAGUGUCUGGAGGCGAUGGGGCAAGACAGGGGUGAAAUCCCCGGGCUUAACCUGGGAACUGCACUUGUGACUGUACGGCUGGAGUACGGCAGAGGGGGAUGGAAUUCCGCGUGUAGCAGUGAAAUGCGUAGAUAUGCGGAGGAACACCGAUGGCGAAGGCAGUCCCCUGGGCCUGUACUGACGCUCAUGCACGAAAGCGUGGGGAGCAAACAGGAUUAGAUACCCCGGUAGUC
This 450-nucleotide ribosomal RNA is filed under the name uncultured bacterium. RNAcentral describes it as "partial 16S ribosomal RNA". It matches the Rfam family "Bacterial small subunit ribosomal RNA", at positions 338 to 795 of the family's 1533-position model. The record is from RNAcentral.